This 67-nucleotide transfer RNA is filed under the name Parajapyx emeryanus. RNAcentral describes it as "tRNA-Ser". Lineage: Eukaryota; Metazoa; Arthropoda; Diplura; Dicellurata; Parajapygidae. The record is from RNAcentral.
GAGACAUCACGACAGAACGGAAGCUGCUAACUUCCUGUUCAAGCGGUUAAAGUCCGUUUAAGUCUCU